Molecule: unclassified non-coding RNA, 214 nt
Filed under: Hevea brasiliensis (rubber tree)
Lineage: Eukaryota; Viridiplantae; Streptophyta; Magnoliopsida; Malpighiales; Euphorbiaceae
Source: RNAcentral
AGAGAGAGAGAGAGAGAGAUUAAUUCAUAAAUCAGACGCCUUGAUUUCAGUUUGCUUCCAUGAAAAAAUUUUUCUCAGUUUUUUAUCUUGAAAAAAUGGUUCAAAAGAAAUAAAGCUUGAAAAAAAAUCUGCCCUAAUAACUAUAUGACACGAGUGAACAUAAUGCCUGACCAGAAAUCAAUAAAGAAUCAAAUAGAGGGAAAAAAAAAAAGGA